Molecule: ribosomal RNA, 371 nt
Filed under: uncultured bacterium
Lineage: Bacteria
Description: bacterial SSU rRNA
Rfam family: Bacterial small subunit ribosomal RNA
Source: RNAcentral
AUACAUAGGGGGCGAGCGUUAUCCGGAAUUAUUGGGCGUAAAGCGUGCGUAGGUGGUCAGUUAAGUCUGGCGUGAAAUUCCCUGGCUUAACCAGGGGGGGUCGUUGGAAACUGGCUGACUUGAAUCCAGAAGGGGUAAGUGGAAUUCCAUGUGUAGCGGUAAAAUGCAUAGAGAUAUGGAGGAACACCAGUGGCGAAGGCGGCUUACUGGUCUGGAAUUGACACUGAGGCACGAAAGCGUGGGUAGCAAACAGGAUUAGAUACCCUGGUAGUCCACGCCGUAAACGAUGAGCACUAAGUGUCGGACGAAAGUUCGGUGCUGUAGUUAACGCAUUAAGUGCUCCGCCUGGGGAGUACGGUCGCAAGACUGAA